RNAcentral lists this long non-coding RNA (567 nucleotides) under Rattus norvegicus (Norway rat). RNAcentral describes it as "long non-coding RNA NONRATT006325". The record is from RNAcentral. Lineage: Eukaryota; Metazoa; Chordata; Mammalia; Rodentia; Muridae.
CUGCCCUGCGCUGUCCCCUCGCCUCUUCGCCCCUUGACAAAGAGGACAGAAAGUUUGCGCGGGGGAGCGGGCCAGGUGAGGAGGGGCGUGCCCGGCGCCCCAGCCCGCGCCCCAGCAGCCGGACCCAGGCCCCUAGCGCGCCCGCCAUGGGCGCCGCGGCCCGCAGCCUCCGGCUGGCGCUCGGCCUCCUGCUGCUGGCCACGCUGCUGCGCCCGGCCGACGCCUGCAGCUGCUCCCCGGUGCACCCGCAACAGGCGUUUUGCAAUGCAGACGUAGGUAAGCAGCCGGGUUCGCGCGGCCCACCUCCCUGCCCGUGCAGCCCGCUGGGGCUCCCUCUGCCAUCCUGAAACUGAACGCCCCAAGCACACUUUUUCCCUCUCCCGUACCCCCGCCCUCCCCCGUUCCUCUCUUUUCUUUCCCUUCUGAGCUGGAAGAUGCUUGGCGACCUCAAAAUUCCACCGAAAUUCCGCAGCAGCUCCGGCCCCAGGAAAGGGAGCCAGGGAACGCUUGGGUGUUGGCAGGCCGCCUCCCUGGGAUGCCAGCGCUGGGGGUGGGGGAGUGGGGGAC